Molecule: ribosomal RNA, 496 nt
Filed under: uncultured bacterium
Lineage: Bacteria
Description: partial 16S ribosomal RNA
Rfam family: Bacterial small subunit ribosomal RNA
Source: RNAcentral
GAUGAACGCUGGCGGCGUGCCUAAUACAUGCAAGUCGAGCGAACAGAUGAGGAGCUUGCUCCUCUGACGUUAGCGGCGGACGGGUGAGUAACACGUGGAUAACCUACCUAUAAGACUGGGAUAACUUCGGGAAACCGGAGCUAAUACCGGAUAAUAUAUUGAACCGCAUGGUUCAAUAGUGAAAGACGGUUUUGCUGUCACUUAUAGAUGGAUCCGCGCCGCAUUAGCUAGUUGGUAGGGUAACGGCUUACCAAGGCGACGAUGCGUAGCCGACCUGAGAGGGUGAUCGGCCACACUGGGACUGAGACGCGGUCCAGACACCGACGGGAGGCAGCAGUAGGGAAUCUUCCGCAAUGGGCGAAAGCCUGACGGAGCAGCGGCGCGUGAGUGAUGAAGGUCUGCGGGUCGUAAAACACUGUUAUUGGGGAAGAACAAAUGUGUAAGUAACUAUGCGCGUCUUGACGGGACCUAAUCAGAAAGCCACGGCUAACUACGU